RNAcentral lists this ribosomal RNA (407 nucleotides) under uncultured prokaryote. Its description in RNAcentral is "bacterial SSU rRNA". It matches the Rfam family "Bacterial small subunit ribosomal RNA", at positions 355 to 776 of the family's 1533-position model. The record is from RNAcentral. RNAcentral also lists the same sequence under 1 other name.
UGGGGAAUAUUGGGCAAUGGGGGAAACCCUGACCCAGCAACGCCGCGUGAAGGAAGAAGGCUUUCGGGUUGUAAACUUCUUUGACGAGGGACGAAAGAAAUGACGGUACCUCGAAAACAAGCCACGGCUAACUACGUGCCAGCAGCCGCGGUAAUACGUAGGUGGCAAGCGUUGUCCGGAUUUACUGGGUGUAAAGGGCGCGUAGGCGGGAUAGCAAGUCAGAUGUGAAAUGCCAGGGCUUAACCCUGGAGCUGCAUUUGAAACUGCUGUUCUUGAGUAUCGGAGAGGCAGGCGGAAUUCCUAGUGUAGCGGUGAAAUGCGUAGAUAUUAGGAGGAACACCAGUGGCGAAGGCGGCCUGCUGGACGACAACUGACGCUGAUGCGCGAAAGCGUGGGGAGCAAACAGG